This 254-nucleotide ribosomal RNA is filed under the name uncultured bacterium. RNAcentral's name for it is "partial 16S ribosomal RNA". It matches the Rfam family "Bacterial small subunit ribosomal RNA", at positions 524 to 776 of the family's 1533-position model. The record is from RNAcentral.
UACGUAGGGUGCGAGCGUUGUCCGGAAUUAUUGGGCGUAAAGAGUUCGUAGGCGGUGUGUCGCGUCGGCCGUGAAAACCUGCAGCUUAACUGUGGGCUUGCGGUCGAUACGGGCAUCACUGGAGUUCGGCAGGGGAGACUGGAAUUCCUGGUGUAGCGGUGAAAUGCGCAGAUAUCAGGAGGAACACCGGUGGCGAAGGCGGGUCUCUGGGCCGAUACUGACGCUGAGGAGCGAAAGCGUGGGGAGCGAACAGG